This 512-nucleotide ribosomal RNA is filed under the name uncultured Methanosaeta sp. Its description in RNAcentral is "bacterial SSU rRNA". It matches the Rfam family "Archaeal small subunit ribosomal RNA", at positions 347 to 859 of the family's 1478-position model. Lineage: Archaea; Methanobacteriati; Methanobacteriota; Methanomicrobia; Methanotrichales; Methanotrichaceae. The record is from RNAcentral.
ACUUUACAAUGCGGGAAACCGUGAUAAGGGGAUCUCGAGUGCCAGCAUAUAAUGUUGGCUGUCCAGAUGCCUAAAAAGCAUCUGUUAGCAAGGGCCGGGCAAGACCGGUGCCAGCCGCCGCGGUAACACCGGCGGCCCGAGUGGUAACCGCUAUUAUUGGGUCUAAAGGGUCUGUAGCCGGCCAGGUAAGUCCCUUGGGAAAUCUGGCAGCUCAACUGUCAGGCUGCUAGGGGAUACUGUUUGGCUUGGGACCGGGAGAGGUGAGAGGUACCUUGGGGGUAGGGGUGAAAUCUUGUGAUCCUCGAGGGACCACCAGUGGCGAAGGCGUCUCACCAGAACGGGUCCGACGGUAAGGGACGAAAGCUAGGGGCACGAACCGGAUUAGAUACCCGGGUAGUCCUAGCCGUAAACGAUGCUCGCUAGGUGUCAGUCACGGUGCGACCGUGAUUGGUGCCGUAGGGAAGCCGUGAAGCGAGCCACCUGGGAAGUAUGGCCGCAAGGCUGAAACUUAA